This 495-nucleotide ribosomal RNA is filed under the name uncultured bacterium. RNAcentral's name for it is "partial 16S ribosomal RNA". It matches the Rfam family "Bacterial small subunit ribosomal RNA", at positions 28 to 507 of the family's 1533-position model. The record is from RNAcentral.
GACGAACGCUGGCGGCGUGCCUAAUACAUGCAAGUAGAACGCUGAAGGAGGAGCUUGCUUCUCUGGAUGAGUUGCGAACGGGUGAGUAACGCGUAGGUAACCUGCCUGGUAGCGGGGGAUAACUAUUGGAAACGAUAGCUAAUACCGCAUAAGAGUAGAUGUUGCAUGACAUUUGCUUAAAAGGUGCAAUUGCAUCACUACCAGAUGAACCUGCGUUGUAUUAGCUAGUUGGUGGGGUAACGGCUCACCAAGGCGACGAUACAUAGCCGACCUGGUGGGGGGAUCCGCCACACUGGGACUGGGACACGGCCCAGACGCCCUCGGGAGGCAGCAGUAGGGAAUCUUCGGCAAUGGACGGAAGGCUGACCGAGCAACGCCGCGUGAGGGAAGAAGGGUUUCGGAUCGUAAAGCUCUGUUGUAAGGGAAGAACGAGUGUGAGAGUGGAAAGUGCACACUGUGACGGUAUCUUACCAGAAAGGGACGGCUAACUACGUG